RNAcentral lists this ribosomal RNA (234 nucleotides) under uncultured Actinomycetales bacterium. Its description in RNAcentral is "partial 16S ribosomal RNA". It matches the Rfam family "Bacterial small subunit ribosomal RNA", at positions 96 to 334 of the family's 1533-position model. The record is from RNAcentral. Lineage: Bacteria; Bacillati; Actinomycetota; Actinomycetes; Actinomycetales.
UGGCGAACGGGUGAGUAACACGUGGGUGAUCUGCCCUGCACUCUGGGAUAAGCCUGGGAAACUGGGUCUAAUACCGGAUAGGACCAUGCUUUAGUGUGUGUGGUGGAAAGUUUUUUGGUGUAGGAUGAGCCCGCGGCCUAUCAGCUUGUUGGUGGGGUAAUGGCCUACCAAGGCGGCGACGGGUAGCCGGACUGAGAGGUUGGUCGGCCACAUUGGGACUGAGAUACGGCCCAG